AUAAGGGACAAUUUUAUCAUUUUCUAGAAAAUUGCUUAACAUAAAUAACUUCGCUCAAAAGGAGACCCGAGCUUGAGCUCGGGUUUCUCACUCACCUCUGUGCUCGAGUUACUUGCAGAAUUGAUAUGUGGUAUUAGUCUUAUGGAAUUGGAACAAAGGGGUAGCGACAGAUGUUGUGGAUAACAAUGAAGGUUCUGGCAUGGACAUGGUUUCUUUUAUUGCCAGAACUAUGACUAUUUCUGAUGAUGCUGAAGAUUUUUCUGACUUUGAGAAACAUUACCAUAAGAUGAUCUCUUCGUCCUGGGGGAUUGGAGGUAUCAUCAUUCCUGUUGUGCUGCUCAUGUCAUUUUUCAACUAUUACUAUGAACAGGGUUUCUCGUCUCCUGUCAAGCUAUCUUUUGAUGUAUAAGAUGUUCAAGUUCUGGAUCAGUUCUAGUCGUGGUGGCAGCAGAUCAGCAUUUUCAUUAGACGUGAUGUAAAUACUUUUGUCGUGGCAGUGAUCUUUUCUUUUGGCUGAAACAUGCAAACAUUAUCAUAUUUACUGCAGUUGGGUGUUGGGGUUUGACUUAAUUAUUAGCCUGAUUCUCGUCUGUAAAUAAAGCUAAUGUCAACAUGUGGAGAGUGUGUGCUUUUCCCUGCUCCUGUUGUAAGAACCUCCAGCUCACUAAAACCACCUAUGCUAAUCUGCAGUAUCUUUCUUUUGGCUCA
Long non-coding RNA from Capsicum annuum, 708 nucleotides. RefSeq lists it as uncharacterized. The transcript is spliced from 3 exons. The record is from RefSeq and is a predicted model, not a curated record. NCBI's taxonomy places the organism in Eukaryota, Viridiplantae, Streptophyta, Magnoliopsida, Solanales, Solanaceae.